CCUCUCGUAGUUCAACGGAUAGAACGCAAGCUUGCGGAGCUUGUAAUGUAGGUUCGAUUCCUGCCGAGAGGACCA
RNAcentral lists this transfer RNA (75 nucleotides) under Candidatus Vogelbacteria bacterium. RNAcentral's name for it is "tRNA-Arg". It matches the Rfam family "tRNA". Rfam says of the family: Transfer RNA (tRNA) molecules are approximately 80 nucleotides in length. Their secondary structure includes four short double-helical elements and three loops (D, anti-codon, and T loops). Lineage: Bacteria; Candidatus Vogeliibacteriota. The record is from RNAcentral.